This 253-nucleotide ribosomal RNA is filed under the name uncultured bacterium. Its description in RNAcentral is "partial 16S ribosomal RNA". It matches the Rfam family "Bacterial small subunit ribosomal RNA", at positions 524 to 776 of the family's 1533-position model. The record is from RNAcentral.
UACAGAGGUCUCAAGCGUUGUUCGGAUUCAUUGGGCGUAAAGGGUGCGUAGGCGGCGCCGUAAGUCUGGUGUGAAAUCCCGGAGCUCAACUCCGGAAUGGCACUGGAUACUGCGGUGCUCGAGGACUGGAGAGGAGACUGGAAUUCACGGUGUAGCAGUGAAAUGCGUAGAUAUCGUGAGGAAGACCAGUGGCGAAGGCGGGUCUCUGGACAGUUCCUGACGCUGAGGCACGAAGGCCAGGGGAGCAAACGGG